RNAcentral lists this ribosomal RNA (601 nucleotides) under Escherichia coli. RNAcentral's name for it is "partial 23S ribosomal RNA". It matches the Rfam family "Bacterial large subunit ribosomal RNA", at positions 2211 to 2811 of the family's 2925-position model. Lineage: Bacteria; Pseudomonadati; Pseudomonadota; Gammaproteobacteria; Enterobacterales; Enterobacteriaceae. The record is from RNAcentral.
UGUUUGAUGUUCUAACGUUGGCCCCUGAUCGGGGUUGCGGACAGUGUCUGGUGGGUAGUUUGACUGGGGCGGUCUCCUCCUAAAGAGUAACGGAGGAGCACGAAGGUUGGCUAAUCCUGGUCGGACAUCAGGAGGUUAGUGCAAUGGCAUAAGCCAGCUUGACUGCGAGCGUGACGGCGCGAGCAGGUGCGAAAGCAGGUCAUAGUGAUCCGGUGGUUCUGAAUGGAAGGGCCAUCGCUCAACGGAUAAAAGGUACUCCGGGGAUAACAGGCUGAUACCGCCCAAGAGUUCAUAUCGACGGCGGUGUUUGGCACCUCGAUGUCGGCUCAUCACAUCCUGGGGCUGAAGUAGGUCCCAAGGGUAUGGCUGUUCGCCAUUUAAAGUGGUACGCGAGCUGGGUUUAGAACGUCGUGAGACAGUUCGGUCCCUAUCUGCCGUGGGCGCUGGAGAACUGAGGGGGGCUGCUCCUAGUACGAGAGGACCGGAGUGGACGCAUCACUGGUGUUCGGGUUGUCAUGCCAAUGGCACUGCCCGGUAGCUAAAUGCGGAAGAGAUAAGUGCUGAAAGCAUCUAAGCACGAAACUUGCCCCGAGAUGAGUUC